Non-coding RNA from Aedes aegypti (yellow fever mosquito), 97 nucleotides. The record is from Rfam. Lineage: Eukaryota; Metazoa; Arthropoda; Insecta; Diptera; Culicidae.
AAGUCCUGGGGCGAUUGUCGGCUUAGUCGCUGUAUCAUUUCAACUGCUGUGCAGUUCUUCGCUAGUGACUAGACCGAACACUCGUAUCCCAGGCCUU